GAUGAACGCUGGCGGCGUGCUUAACACAUGCAAGUCGAACGGUGAAGGCGGAGCUUGCUCUGCUGGAUCAGUGGCGAACGGGUGAGUAACACGUGAGCAAUCUGCCCCUGACUCUGGGAUAAGCGCUGGAAACGGCGUCUAAUACUGGAUACGAGCUGCGAAGGCAUCUUCAGCAGCUGGAAAGAAUUUCGGUCAGGGAUGAGCGCGCGGCCUAUCAGCUUGUUGGUGAGGUAAUGGCUCACCAAGGCGUCGACGGGUAGCCGGCCUGAGAGGGUGACCGGCCACCCUGGGACUGAGACACGGCCCAGACUCCUACGGGAGGCAGCAGUGGGGAAUAUUGCACAAUGGGCGAAAGCCUGAUGCAGCAACGCCGCGUGAGGGACGACGGCCUUCGGGUUGUAAACCUCUUUUAGCAGGGAAGAAGCGAAAGUGACGGUACCUGCAGAAAAAGCGCCGGCUAACUACGUG
Molecule: ribosomal RNA, 468 nt
Filed under: uncultured bacterium
Lineage: Bacteria
Description: partial 16S ribosomal RNA
Rfam family: Bacterial small subunit ribosomal RNA
Source: RNAcentral